CAAGUCGAGCGAGAAAGUGUAGCAAUACAUGAGUAAAGCGGCGCACGGGUGAGUAACACGUGGAUAACCUGCCUCAAAGUGGGGAAUAACACCGGGAAACCGGUGCUAAUACCGCAUAUUCUGACGAGAUCUGCGGAUUUUGUCAGGAAAGGAGCAAUUCGCUAUGAGAGGGGUCCGCGGCUGAUUAGCUAGUUGGUGAGGUAAUGGCUCACCAAGGCUUCGAUCAGUAGCCGGUCUGAGAGGACGGUCGGCCACACUGGAACUGAGACACGGUCCAGACUCCUACGGGAGGCAGCAGUGGGGAAUUUUUCGCAAUGGGGGAAACCCUGACGAAGCAAUGCCGCGUGGAUGAUGAAGUAUCUCGGUACGUAAAAUCCUUUCGACGGGGACGAAACCGCAAGGUUGACGGUACCCGUAGAAGAAGCCCCGGCUAACUCCGUGCCAGCAGCCGCGGUAAUACGGGGGGGGCAAGCGUUGUUCGGAAUUACUGGGCGUAAAGGGUGCGUAGGCGGCUUUCUAAGUCGGAUGUGAAAACUCUGGGCUCAACCCAGAGCCUGCAUCUGAAACUGGAGAGCUAGGGUUCUGGAGGGGAAAGCGGAAUUCCUGGUGUAGCGGUGAAAUGCGUAGAUAUCAGGAGGAACACCGGUGGCGAAGGCGGCUUUCUGGACAGAUACCGACGCUGAGGCACGAAAGCUAGGGGAGCAAACAGGAUUAGAUACCCUGGUAGUCCUAGCCCUAAACGAUGGAUACUUGCUGUGGGGGGGGAUUGAAGCCCCUUGUGGCGAAGCUAACGCAUUAAGUAUCCCGCCUGGGGAGUACGGUC
This 823-nucleotide ribosomal RNA is filed under the name uncultured Bacillota bacterium. RNAcentral describes it as "bacterial SSU rRNA". It matches the Rfam family "Bacterial small subunit ribosomal RNA", at positions 58 to 887 of the family's 1533-position model. Lineage: Bacteria; Bacillati; Bacillota. The record is from RNAcentral.